Oryctolagus cuniculus (rabbit) is the source of this 3970-nucleotide long non-coding RNA. The record is from Ensembl. NCBI's taxonomy places the organism in Eukaryota, Metazoa, Chordata, Mammalia, Lagomorpha, Leporidae.
GGUCCAAGAAUUUCACCUCUAGCGGCGCAAUACGAAUGCCCCCGGCCGUCCCUCUUAAUCAUGGCCUCAGUUCCGAAAACCAACAAAAUAGAACCGCGGUCCUAUUCCAUUAUUCCUAGCUGCGGUAUCCAGGCGGCUCGGGCCUGCUUUGAACACUCUAAUUUUUUCAAAGUAAACGCUUCGGGCCCCGCGGGACACUCAGCUAAGAGCAUCGAGGGGGCGCCGAGAGGCAAGGGGCGGGGACGGGCGGUGGCUCGCCUCGCGGCGGACCGCCCGCCCGCUCCCAAGAUCCAACUACGAGCUUUUUAACUGCAGCAACUUUAAUAUACGCUAUUGGAGCUGGAAUUACCGCGGCUGCUGGCACCAGACUUGCCCUCCAAUGGAUCCUCGUUAAAGGAUUUAAAGUGGACUCAUUCCAAUUACAGGGCCUCGAAAGAGUCCUGUAUUGUUAUUUUUCGUCACUACCUCCCCGGGUCGGGAGUGGGUAAUUUGCGCGCCUGCUGCCUUCCUUGGAUGUGGUAGCCGUUUCUCAGGCUCCCUCUCCGGAAUCGAACCCUGAUUCCCCGUCACCCGUGGUCACCAUGGUAGGCACGGCGACUACCAUCGAAAGUUGAUAGGGCAGACGUUCGAAUGGGUCGUCGCCGCCACGGAGGGCGUGCGAUCGGCCCGAGGUUAUCUAGAGUCACCAAAGCCGCCGGCGCCCACCCCCCCGGCCGGGGCCGGGGGGAGGCUGACCGGGUUGGUUUUGAUCUGAUAAAUGCACGCAUCCCCCCCGCGAAGGGGGUCAGCGCCCGUCGGCAUGUAUUAGCUCUAGAAUUACCACAGUUAUCCAAGUAGGAGAGGAGCGAGCGACCAAAGGAACCAUAACUGAUUUAAUGAGCCAUUCGCAGUUUCACUGUACCGGCCGUGCGUACUUAGACAUGCAUGGCUUAAUCUUUGAGACAAGCAUAUGCUACUGGCAGGAUCAACCAGGUAGGAGCGCGCGGUCAAGAGGGUGGGACCGGCAGGGACCGCCGCUCGCUCGCUCGCUCGCACAGGCGAGAGAGAAGCCGGGAACCGGCGCGGGGCGCGCACCACGGCGGCGCGGCCGCAAGCCUCCGCGGGGAAGCAAGCCGGACGACAGAGCCGGCGGGAUCAGGGGCGUCCUCGGACGCGAGCGGGUCAAGCCCCGGCGGCUCACCCGCACACACCCCAGGGACGGGGCGCGGCAGAGGCGGCAGAGGGGGGAGAGGAGAUCGGGAGGAGGGGGACCCGGAGGCUCCCGCCCCACAGACACACACACCCCCAGCAGACGGAGCGGACCCCGAGCGACGGCGGGCACGGAGUCGGGCGCGGGGGUUCGGGGUGGGGACGCGGUGGCAACCAGGGCACACCAAACGCCACCCAAGGAGGGCGACUCACAGUGUCCCUCCUACACCCCGCCCAGGCCGACCGGCGCCCGCACACACGCGACGCCGGCCGCCACACCAAGUCCACGACGCGACGGCCCGGAGGAACCAGCCACGACACACCCGCGGGACUCGGGGCACACGCGCGAGCACCACCACCGCCGCGGAGCCACCAACGCCACCAGGGGGGGAGCUGGGGGGUGACGACGCCUCCCCCUCCUCCUCCUCCUCCUUCCCCCACGCACGCCAACAAGCCAACGCGCGACGCCACAGCCGCCCGGGGGCGGUUCCACACGCGGAAGGGGAGCCGGAACCCCCAACCACCAAGACACGGUGGGCCGGCCCAAGGGGAGGCGAAACACAGCAGGGUCACGGCGACCCGGGUCGGGAAGCGGAUGAGAAAGAGGGCAAAGGAGACGGGGGCCAGGGCCGCCCGGCAGGCGGAGGAAGGCGCGGGCAAAGGGCGACGGGGAAAAGGACCAGAGCCACCCACGCGACGACGGUGCGGGCGGAAGGGCCUCACCACGCAGCCGGCCGGCCGGCCAGUCGCGCCAGAGCACACAACCCCCACCACCACACGCGGGAUCUCACCGCCAGCACCCUCCGAGGGCAAGGGCGGUCCCGCGGGGAUGGGAAGGCAGCACCUGACGCAGCCAACCGGGGGCCGUCGUGCCUCAGCCACAGCCACCCAAACACGCAUCUUCACGCGGGGAAGACCACCGGCCCCGCCCCCGCCACCAGUCACGGACAGACCCCAACCCCACAAGGCCACGGAGGGCGAGGCACCGGAGGCACGAGGGAGAGGACGCAGGGAGCGCCUUGGGCCACAAAAGCCGGACCCGCCGGGGAAACGGACACGGGAUCCCACCGCCACACACCAGGGCGGUCCCGCGACGCCUGGGACACCGGAGCCCACCUCUGGCGACCCUCCACGUCUUCUCCCACGCACACCCAAGAGCCCCGCCGCCAGGGCGCCUCCACGCGACAGCGCCAACAACCGCACACACCGGACGGCCCUCGCGCCAUCUCCCGCCCAUCCAACCAUCCGGAUCUCCAUGCCCGGAGAAGCACCGCGACCCCGAGGGAACGCUCCCCAGGGGCGACCACGCGAGCCGAGGGGGAAGAGAGGGCUGGGCCCAGCCCAACACACGUGCCGACCGCCGCCCGACGACGGCCAGUCGCAGCCCGGGGUGGCGAGCAGGGGAAGCUGAGAGCUGCCCGCUCGCGCCACAGCCCCAGGGACGCGCAGGACGGACCACGCGCGCCGGUCCCCAACACGAAGAAAGAGCGACGGACCGCCAGCCCGGCCCGGCGGGACCCUCCCCCGACACGGAGGGGCAAACGGGGCGCACGGGUGGGGUACGCCACCCAACGCACUCAGCACAGGAGGGACGGCGGCCGGGGGAUAACGGUACCCCGUCAGAAGGCACGCCCCUCUCUCGGAUCGCUAGAGAAGGCGUUCCUCACCGAAGGUGGGCCACACCCCACCCCAACUGCCCCCCUCCGCCGGGCCGGCAGGAGGCAAGCCGAGGGAGCACCACCCGAGAGACCGAUCAAUCGGGCGAGGGGGUCUGCGGUAUAGGGAAGAAACGGCACCUCGAGCAUCCGCGGCCAGGGCAAGGGCAGGCUGGGCGCAUUACCAAUCCCAUUCGCCACAGCCCUCCCGGCCCCCGCACUCGUCCGGCCAGACCGGACCACACCGCGACUGCUCGACACACCUGGCACACACCACCCCACGGGGGCAGGGUGGCAAGCGCGCAGGCAUGCGCCCACCAAGCCGAUACCCCACACACACGUGGGGACGACGGCACGACACCGGCAGCCUCCCUCCAAGCGAGGCGAAGCACACACGUGUCUCCUUCUCUUACCGCCUCGACCCCCCCAAGACUCCCAAGGGGCACAGGCAGCAGCCAGAGGCAGCCGCAGCAGCGACACCCGGGAGAGGGCGCUGGGGGGACAGGAGCAACACCACCACUCGGCUUCAGGCACCUGAGGCACAACCUGGACCACUCCAGGGGCACCGCACAGGCUCGCGCGGAGGCAAGGCUCCGCAGCCACAGAGCCCACGACAGGGCGACGGCGAGGGAUGCCCGCCACGUCAGAGGACCCCGACCCCCCCCCGCGCGCAAAAGCACGGGGACAGCAGAGGCCGGGCCGGUUUCCGCACCCCUGCCACCCACACACCACCCGCAGGUGGGGAAGGCAGAACGAGGGGCCCGCAGGCCAGAACGAGAGGCUCAGCAGCAUUCACCAUGAACGGCUGUCCCUCAUCUGGAGCGGCUUAGGUCCGGCCCAGGAGAGCGCCACAGCACCACAUCGGUCACAGUCAGGUCUAGGCUUUAACACGUGGAGCGAGGGCGGGGGGACACGACCCGGCGAGGACAGCCACCAGAGGGGCCCGCUGCAGCCUCACCAGCCCCCGCCUCUCACUGCAGGCGGUAGACAACCCCAGCGGAGAACGCCUGACACGCACACGUGGCAUGAAGCCACCCCUCAUCGAGGGCCUUUCAAGUCAGAGGGUUGUCACAACCACCACGCGAUCGGCUCACCAGCGGCAGAGAGCGCACGCGGGUAGAGGACCC